AUGAAUUAUGAGUUUAAUAGAUCCUCUUUAGCAGAAAGACUUUUAUUCCUUGCUCAUUAUCAGACAAUCACUUAUUCCCAAGCCUCGUGUGGGACUAAUCGUUUUCAUUUACCAUCUCAUGGAAAACCCUUUUCGUUCCGCUUAGCCCUAUCGGGUAUUUUAGUGAUAGGUUCUGUAGGAACUCGACGAUCCUGUUUGGUCAAAUACCUAACAAAAAAUUACGAUUUUCGUUUCAUUAAGGUACGAGGGCUUCUUAUUCCACAAGAACGAAAGCACCUUUUCAUUCUUUCAUAUACUAGGGGUUUUUACCUGGAAAAGACAAUGUUCCAUACUAAAGGAUUUGGGUCCAUAACCAUGAGUUCAAGUGCACUAGAUCUUGUAGCACUUAGCAACGAAGCCCUAUCCAUUAGUAUUCCACAUAAGAAAUCGAUUCUAGAAAAAAAUACAAUUAGAUUAGGUCUUCAUAGACAAACUUGGGGUUUGCGAGCCAAGGUAAGAUCGGCUCGGGAUCAUGGGACCCUUUUCUAUCAGGUAGGAGGGGCUCUUGUACAAAAUAGACUCACGAAGUAAUAACCCAUAGAAUCUAUCUAUAUAAAGAUAAAGAUGCAAUCGUGUCAGGAAGCGGGUUUUUCUUUGGCCAAAAGGUACUUCGAACUUGGAACGAGCAUGAAGAGAUUAACGAGACUUCUUUCUCUUUUGAGUUUUUCUGGUGGACCUGCCGUGCAAGAUCUUUGGUCUUCCCCUGGAACCGAUGAAAAAAAGUGGAUCGCUACUUAUGUACUCGCUCAGAAUGAUUCUUCUCUAUCUAUAGUUCAUGGCCUAUUAGAAGUAGAAGGUGCUCUGGUGCAAUCCUUACCGACAGAAAAAUAUUGCAGUCAGGUUGAUAAUAGUCGAGUGACAUUACUUCAUCGGUCCGAACUAAGGAAUCUGUUAGAAAUGUUUUGA
This 945-nucleotide ribosomal RNA is filed under the name Triticum aestivum (bread wheat). RNAcentral's name for it is "partial small subunit ribosomal RNA". The record is from RNAcentral. Lineage: Eukaryota; Viridiplantae; Streptophyta; Magnoliopsida; Poales; Poaceae.